This 840-nucleotide ribosomal RNA is filed under the name uncultured bacterium. Its description in RNAcentral is "bacterial SSU rRNA". It matches the Rfam family "Bacterial small subunit ribosomal RNA", at positions 78 to 901 of the family's 1533-position model. The record is from RNAcentral.
UGACGUUGGGAAAGCGAGCGGCGGAUGGGUGAGUAACACGCUGGGGAACCUGCCCCUAAGCCUGGGAUACCAUUUGGAAACAGGUGCUAAUACCGGAUAAUAAAGCAGAUCGCAUGAUCAGCUUUUGAAAGGCGGCGUAAGCUGUCGCUAAGGGAUGGCCCCGCGGUGCAUUAGCUAGUUGGUAAGGUAACGGCUUACCAAGGCGACGAUGCAUAGCCGAGUUGAGAGACUGAUCGGCCACAUUGGGACUGAGACACGGCCCAAACUCCUACGGGAGGCAGCAGUAGGGAAUCUUCCACAAUGGACGCAAGUCUGAUGGAGCAACGCCGCGUGAGUGAAGAAGGUUUUCGGAUCGUAAAGCUCUGUUGUUGGUGAAGAAGGAUAGAGGUAGUAACUGGCCUUUAUUUGACGGUAAUCAACCAGAAAGUCACGGCUAACUACGUGCCAGCAGCCGCGGUAAUACGUAGGUGGCAAGCGUUGUCCGGAUUUAUUGGGCGUAAAGCGAGCGCAGGCGGAAAAAUAAGUCUAAUGUGAAAGCCCUCGGCUUAACCGAGGAACUGCAUCGGAAACUGUUUUUCUUGAGUGCAGAAGAGGAGAGUGGAACUCCAUGUGUAGCGGUGGAAUGCGUAGAUAUAUGGAAGAACACCAGUGGCGAAGGCGGCUCUCUGGUCUGCAACUGACGCUGAGGCUCGAAAGCAUGGGUAGCGAACAGGAUUAGAUACCCUGGUAGUCCAUGCCGUAAACGAUGAGUGCUAAGUGUUGGGAGGUUUCCGCCUCUCAGUGCUGCAGCUAACGCAUUAAGCACUCCGCCUGGGGAGUACGACCGCAAGGGUUGAAACU